This 497-nucleotide ribosomal RNA is filed under the name uncultured bacterium. Its description in RNAcentral is "partial 16S ribosomal RNA". It matches the Rfam family "Bacterial small subunit ribosomal RNA", at positions 28 to 507 of the family's 1533-position model. The record is from RNAcentral.
GAUGAACGCUGGCGGCGUGCUUAAUACAUGCAAGUCGAGCGGACGGACGCUACUCUUGCUUGUUUCUUGUUAGCGGCGGGCGGGUGAGUAACACGUGUAUAACCUACCUAUCUGUCUGGGAUCACUUCGGAACAGCGGCGCUAAUCCCGGAGAAUCUUUUGCACCGUGUUGGUGAAUGGUGAGUUACGGUCUUGCGGUCUCUUAUCGAUGGAUCCGGGCUGCAUUAGCUAGUUGGUAAGGUAACGGGUUUCCAAGGCAACGAUGCAUAGCCGAACGGAGAGGGUGAUCGGCCGCACGAGAGCUGAGACGGGGACCAGACUACUGCGGGAGGCAGCAGUAGGGUAUGGGCCGCAGUGGGCGAGAGCAUGGCGGAGCAACGCCGCGCGAGUGAUGGAGGUCUUGGGAUCGGAAAACUCUGCUACUAGGGAAGAACAGCUGUCUAAGGAACUGUGGACAGCGUGACGGUACCUAAUCAGGAAGCCACGGCUAACUACGUG